GGGAGGUUAGCAUAUCGGCAAUGCGGUUGUCUUAAGAACAAAAAGAAGUCGGUUCGAAUCCGGCACCUUCCA
This 72-nucleotide transfer RNA is filed under the name Coemansia sp. RSA 1721. RNAcentral describes it as "tRNA-Leu". It matches the Rfam family "tRNA". Rfam says of the family: Transfer RNA (tRNA) molecules are approximately 80 nucleotides in length. Their secondary structure includes four short double-helical elements and three loops (D, anti-codon, and T loops). Lineage: Eukaryota; Fungi; Kickxellomycota; Kickxellomycetes; Kickxellales; Kickxellaceae. The record is from RNAcentral. RNAcentral also lists the same sequence under 2 other names.